Molecule: ribosomal RNA, 421 nt
Filed under: uncultured bacterium
Lineage: Bacteria
Description: partial 16S ribosomal RNA
Rfam family: Bacterial small subunit ribosomal RNA
Source: RNAcentral
AAUAUUGGACAAUGGUGGCAACCCUGAUCCAGCCAUGCCGCGUGUGUUAAUAAGGUCUUCGGUUUGUAAAGCACGUUAAGGUGGGAGGAAGGGCUUUAGGUUAAUACCCUGAAGUUUUGACGUUACCAACAGAAUAAGCAUCGGAUAACUCUGUGCCAGCAGCCGCGGUAAUACAGAGGGUGCUAGCGUUAAUCGUAAUUCCUGGAGAUAAAGCGCGCGUAGGUGGUUCAGUAAGAUGGAUGUGAAAUCCCCGGGCUUAACCUGGGAACUGCUUUCAUAACUGCUGAGCUAGAGUACGGUAGAGGGUAGUGGAAUUUCCUGUGUAGCGGUGAAAUGCGUAGAUAUAGGAAGGAACACCAGUGGCGAAGGCGACUACCUGGACUGAUACUGACACUGAGGUGCGAAAGCGUGGGGAGCAAAC